RNAcentral lists this non-coding RNA (209 nucleotides) under Streptomyces colonosanans. RNAcentral describes it as "Streptomyces sp. MUSC 93 Streptomyces RNA 1601". It matches the Rfam family "Streptomyces RNA 1601". From Rfam's summary of the family: Identified by deep sequencing of transcriptome at the end of exponential growth phase. The record is from Rfam by way of RNAcentral. Lineage: Bacteria; Bacillati; Actinomycetota; Actinomycetes; Kitasatosporales; Streptomycetaceae.
GACGACCGGCCGGACACGGCAGUGCCCGGCCCACAAGUGGAGGCUCCGAUCUCCCACCUGGCCGUCCUCCGGGACGGCGGGUCACCGGUCAGACGACCACCAUCACUCCGCACGGUCGAUGGAGUCGUCCGAAACGCGCCCCGCGGCACACCGCGGCGGUGCUCCGGAAAGCUCGGAGUCCCGCCUGUGUCCCGUCCGGGGCAUUUUUC